CAUUAUGGUCAUACCCUUAGUGGGCGAAAAAAAACAUUCGUAAAAUCGCUGUCGUCGAUCGAACGCUGUAUUUUUUUCCAGUGCAAUAUUCGGCCGAUGAAUAAAGAGUGAUUGAAUUGAAGUACUCCCUUAAAGAUAAUAUACAUAUAAUUAAUAAAUAAAGUCAACAAGAACAGCAGCAAAAAGAGAGAGCGGUGAAACACAAUAAGAAUUGCUGCCGUUGAGGUGUGUGCGUAUACGUGUGUGUGUUUGUGUGCCUGUGUGACGUUUACAGUAGCAAAAAGUUCGGUGGUGUCGUCAAAAUUUUCGAGUAUUUUAAAGUUAAUGCAAACGAUUCUCGAUCGGAUAUGAGUUGAUCGCGAGUCAUCGAUCUAAUCGGAUGUGGCAAAAGUCUGGCUGAGGAAAUCGAGAAGAAAAAACACCAUAAACAACGGCAAUUUGUUGCUGCCGCAACAAUAGCAGCAGCAGCAGCACACUAACACCACCCCCCGUUUCAGCCUAACGGUUCAUUCACAGUGGCCGCAGAAGCAGAAGAAGAAGACGAGUGUCUGCGAAUUGGGAGCAUCAUGUGGCGGUUUUAGAAGAACUGCCAAAGGACUAAAAACACUGCUUAUUGAGAGGAAUAUUAGAACAAGAUCUUGUUGUUGGCAAGGUUAAGCUUAGAGGGCCUGAAGAUCCAGACGAGAAGAAGAGUAUAGACUGAGGAAACGGAGCCGCGUCGUCGUUCUGCGUCAGAAGAUGACCCUGACCACAACGACCACUGCCUCAUCAGCCGAGAGCCAAGCGAAAAUGGAUGUGGUGAAGGGCGGAGCACUACCCGGUGAAGAGAAUCUGCCCACCUCCGAGAUGGAUCUGCUGGCCAAGCUGGAGGCGGCCAACAAGCUCAUCGAGAGCGAUGCCAAGUCCCUUAACUCUCUCCACUCCACGCACAGUCGCAAGAACUCGGACACGAGUCAGAUUAGCCUAACGUCGAGUGGAAACUCGGUGGCCGAAGAGGACAUCUGGACGACGUGGGCCACCAUCCUGAAUGACUGGGAGGGAGCUCUCAAGCGAAAGAAUCCCUGCGUCAAUGAGCUAGUGCGUCGUGGUAUUCCCCAUCACUUCCGAGCGAUCGUCUGGCAGCAGCUGAGUGGAGCGGCCGAGGCGGACAAGAAGCAGUAUGCGGAGUACAUUAAGGCCACGAGUGCCUGCGAGAAGGUGAUCAGGCGGGACAUUGCCCGUACGUAUCCCGAGGUGGAGUUCUUCAAGGAGAAGGAUGGUCCCGGGCAGGAGGCACUCUUCAAUGUGAUCAAGGCAUAUUCCUUGCACGAUCGAGAGGUUGGCUAUUGCCAGGGUUCGGGCUUCAUUGUGGGUCUGCUGCUGAUGCAAAUGCCCGAGGAGGAGGCCUUCGCCGUGCUCGUGCAGAUCAUGCAACAGCAUCGAAUGCGUCACAUGUUCAAGCCCUCCAUGUCGGAGCUGGGCCUGUGCAUGUACCAGCUGGAGAAUCUGGUGCAGGAGCAGAUACCCGACAUGCACAUUCACUUCCAGCAGCAGGGCUUCCAAACGACCAUGUACGCCUCCAGUUGGUUCCUCACCCUGUACACGACCACUCUGAAUGUCAAUCUAAGUUGUCGCAUCAUGGACGUCUUCCUCAGCGAGGGCAUGGAGUUCAUAUUCAAGGUAGCUCUGGCCCUGCUUCUCACUGGGAAGGAAACGCUGCUCUGCCUGGACAUGGAGGCCAUGCUUAAGUUCUUCCAAAAGGAGCUGCCCGGUCGUGUGGAGGCCGAUGUCGAGGGCUUCUUUAAUUUGGCCUACUCCCUUAAGCUGAAUACCAAGCGGAUGAAGAAGAUGGAGAAGGAGUACCAGGACCUCAAGAAGAAGGAGCAGGAGGAGAUGGCUGAGCUGCGGCGACUGAGACGCGAGAACUGCCUGCUGAAGCAGCGGAAUGAGCUGCUGGAGGCUGAGAGCGCUGAACUGGCCGAUCGCCUGGUGCGUGGCCAGGUGUCCAGAGCUGAGGAGGAGGAAACUAGCUAUGCCAUUCAAACCGAGCUGAUGCAGCUGCGGCGCUCUUACUUGGAGGUUUCCCACCAGCUGGAAAAUGCCAAUGAGGAGGUGCGCGGCUUGAGUCUGCGGCUGCAGGAGAAUAAUGUAUCCAUCGACAGCAACAACUCCCGGCAGUCGUCCAUUGACGAGCUCUGCAUGAAGGAGGAGGCUCUGAAGCAGCGCGACGAGAUGGUCUCGUGUCUCCUAGAGGAGCUGGUGAAAGUACGCCAAGGUCUGGCCGAAAGUGAGGAUCAGAUUAGGAAUCUCAAGGCCAAGGUGGAGGAGCUGGAGGAGGAUAAGAAGACGCUGCGGGAGACGACGCCCGACAAUUCAGUGGCCCAUCUGCAGGACGAACUGAUUGCUAGCAAACUUCGCGAGGCCGAGGCCUCACUCUCGCUCAAGGAUCUCAAGCAGCGGGUGCAGGAGCUGAGUAGCCAGUGGCAGCGUCAGCUGGCCGAGAAUCAGCGCAGCGAAAGUGAACGCACCACCAAUGCUGUGGAUUCCACACCCAAAAAGCUGCUGACCAACUUCUUUGACAGCUCGAAGAGUAGUGAGCAUACCCAGAAGCUGGAGGAAGAGCUGAUGACCACACGCAUUCGGGAAAUGGAAACGUUGACUGAGCUCAAGGAGCUAAGACUUAAGGUCAUGGAGCUGGAGACACAGGUUCAGGUGUCCACCAAUCAGUUGAGGCGGCAGGAUGAGGAGCACAAGAAGCUCAAGGAGGAACUCGAGAUGGCCGUGACCAGGGAGAAGGAUAUGUCGAACAAGGCGCGUGAGCAGCAGCACAGAUACUCCGAUCUGGAAUCUCGCAUGAAGGAUGAGCUGAUGAAUGUGAAAAUCAAAUUUACCGAGCAAAGCCAAACGGUGGCUGAACUGAAACAGGAAAUUUCCCGACUAGAGACCAAGAACUCGGAGAUGCUCGCCGAGGGUGAACUGCGCGCCAAUCUGGAUGACUCGGAUAAGGUGCGCGACCUGCAGGACAGGCUGGCCGACAUGAAGGCGGAGUAUCCCACGCCAAUAACCAGCCCCGACACUGAGCCGUGGAAAUGGAUAAGCUAAACUAAUUCUUAACACAAACUGAAAAACUGAAAAUGAAAACCAAAACCAAUUGAAUGAAAAAAACGAAACUUAACGAGCAAAAUUACUAAAACAAAAGAAAAAAAAACUAAAAAUUAAACAAAAAAAAAAAGAAGAUAUUUAAAAGGCAAAUUAGCGAAACCCAAUUUGAAGACACAAUUUAUCCUCUAAUCUCUCUCAAAGUACACAAAAUCCCGAAACAAAAACCAAACUCAAGCAGCAGGCCAAGCUACCAACAUACCCAGCUGACGGCGUUAAAGAGUCGCGGCAAAUUCCCUGGCACCAAGCUGCGCAGCUCGUCGAUUCAAUCCAUAGAAUCCACCGAGAUUGAUUUCAAUGAUCUGAAUAUGGUGAG
RNA transcript from Drosophila eugracilis, 3454 nucleotides. It is a transcript of the gene named ecotropic viral integration site 5 ortholog, with no coding region annotated. Lineage: Eukaryota; Metazoa; Arthropoda; Insecta; Diptera; Drosophilidae. The transcript has 10 exons. The record is from RefSeq and is a predicted model, not a curated record.